AACGCUGGCGGCGUGCCUAACACAUGCAAGUCGAACGAGAAAGUCUCCGCAAGGGGAUGAGUAAAGUGGCGAACGGGUGAGUAACACGUAGCUAACCUGCCCUUGAGUGGGGGAUAACCUGGGGAAACCCGGGCUAACACCGCAUAACGUCCCGGUGGCGCAGGCCAUGGGGAUCAAAGGCCCGCAAGGGUCGCUCGUGGAGGGGGCUGCGGCCGAUUAGCUAGUUGGUGAGGUAAUGGCCCACCAAGGCAAUGAUCGGUAGCCGGCCUGAGAGGGCGCACGGUCACACUGGCACUGAAACACGGGCCAGACUCCUACGGGAGGCAGCAGUGGGGAAUUUUGCACAAUGCCCGAAAGGGUGAUGCAGCAACGCCGCGUGAGGGAUGAAGGCCUUCGGGUCGUAAACCUCUUUCGACUGGGAAAAACGGCCCCGUGAAGAACGGGGUCUGAUGGUACCGGUGGAAGAAGCCCCGGCUAACUACGUGCCAGCAGCCGCGGUAAUACGUAGGGGGCGAGCGUUGUUCGGAAUUAUUGGGCGUAAAGGGCGUGUAGGCGGUGCGGUAAGUCGGGCGUUAAAUCUCCAGGCUUAACUUGGAGCGGCCGUCCGAAACUGCCGUGCUAGGGUGCGGGAGAGGGCAGUGGAAUUCCCGGUGUAGCGGUGAAAUGCGUAGAUAUCGGGAGGAACAUCUGUGGCGAAGGCGGCUGCCUGGACCGCAACCGACGCUGAGGCGCGAAAGCUAGGGGAGCAAACAG
Molecule: ribosomal RNA, 753 nt
Filed under: uncultured Acidobacteriota bacterium
Lineage: Bacteria; Pseudomonadati; Acidobacteriota
Description: bacterial SSU rRNA
Rfam family: Bacterial small subunit ribosomal RNA
Source: RNAcentral